AUUAAAGCUUUUUAUUAAAGUAUCUCUGCAUGGCAAUUUAUUUCAUGUUGUUGCAUAUGUUAUUGUUGCAGAUUACAUUUAUUUUACAUUUAGGGAAAGCAAUGUGCAUGGUGAAAGGAUAAAAUUCAUUUCAGUAGCAUCUUAAUAGAUAUUUAAGUGAUGCUUUUGACAAAUAAAACAUUCAUAGUUAAAUAAAGUGAAAUUUAGGUUGGAAUUGUUUGUAUAGAUGAUGCAAAACUGUACAAGCAAGUUAGCUAGGAAGAUGCUACAGAUACCAGCAGUAUUAUACAGAAAAGAAAGAUGGUCAGCUGAUUGGUUAUUUGAAACUGAUACCAAGAAACACAGAAUAGAUUUAAGAACUGAGAAGGACGUCUUGUACUUCAUUCAUGUGAGCAAUAAUAUAUUGCAAAUGGAAACAUUUAUUAUUAUAUAGUUUAUUAUGAAUAAGCAAAAUACAAAUUAAUUUCGAUAUUUACAUAUAAUUUAAAUAUUUUUAAACAGUUUACUAUUGUAUAUUUAUAUUUAAUUAAAAGG
Molecule: long non-coding RNA, 534 nt
Filed under: Androctonus crassicauda
Lineage: Eukaryota; Metazoa; Arthropoda; Arachnida; Scorpiones; Buthidae
Source: RNAcentral